GGUGCUCUGCCCUCUGCUCGGUGGCACUUUCAGAUCCCAUUAUGCAGGGGCAGCAGACCGUGACGCCAGCGGUGGCUGAGAGUGGAAAUUCAGAGGUCCCACCUGAGUUGCCACAGGCCCAGUUUCAGAUUCUGGAGGAAGAAGCUGGCCCCAAUCGAGUGUGAGAAUAAUCAGCCGUGGUGUAGGCAUGGCAGCUGUGAGCUGGAGAAGUCACCCCAACUGGGAUCUGUGACAGGUGGUCAGGGGAUGGCCAAAGGGUACAGGGCCUCAGUGGCUGGACUGGGGUUGGGUGGGGCCAGAGAGCAGGAGCAAAGAAGCAGACUUGGGUGUGGCCUAGCCCAGAGCAGUGGAUCUCAAACCAUUUUGUCUAAGGAUCUCUUUACAUCCUUAAAAAUUAUUGAGAAUCCCACAAAGGCCCAGGUGCCUAUAUCAAUCAAUGUCAGCCUCAUUAGAAAUUAAAACUGAGACAUUUUUUAAGACCCAAGAACAAAAGUAGGCAUGCCACUAGCUGUCACAGUGAUGAUGUCACCACACCUCAGGCAGCCUCUGGAAGACUCACUGUAUACAUCUGGGAGUGGGCGGGAAGAAGGUCCCUAACAUCUUAGUGUUAUAAUUUAGUUAGUUCUGACCUUGGAGACCUCUGAAAGGGCCUCCACUCGCCUGAAUGCACGUGGGGAACUGCUGCAUGGUGGUUCAGAAUGUGGACACAUGGCAAGACUGCCGAGUUUGGAACCUGGCUCUAACACAAUUUACCCUCUCAGUGCCUCCAUGUCCUCAUCUGAGAGGGGCUGAGGAAUGGGACCUCCUCACAGGGGCCGUAGGGAGGGGUAGAAGGGCAUCUGGCACUAGGAUGUAGUCACAGCAUUCUGGCUCUGAUGAGGUGCAGGGCCAGCACAGCUGCUGGGACAGCUGGACGUACAGGCAACCCCAGGGCACCGGAUCCGGGUCUGAUGGGCGGGACAGGAGCCUGAGCACUGGCCUUGGGACCCAGACUCAAUGCUAGGGCUUCUGGCUCCCUGAGGAGGUCUAGUGCCAAGUUUCCCCACUGGGAGGAGGCUCAGCCCUGGCCCCGGAGUCUGAGGGAGCUGCCAUGUGCUAGGGGGGCCUCCGUGGGCUUUGUUCUCAGGAGCGGGUGAAGUAACAGCCCGUGGAGAUGCGAUGCGAUCUGAUAUCUCAGCAAAGACAACUCUCAAAAGAAUAUCUUUUUUUAUGGUAUGCAUGAUUUGUAUUGCUGAUACAUGUAUUUCUCUGCAUCAAUCAAUAAAAAGAUGAAAUUGGGCCAAUUUAUGAAUAUUUCAUACAUAACAAAUCUAGGUUUUUAAUGCUCAAAAAACUGAUAAAAAGUCUGUCGAUAUGUCUCCAACCUGGAUCCUUCUCAGGGCAUCAUGUGGAGACAGGUUCUGCCACCAGCCUGUGCCUCUAACUCCAGGUCCAGUCACCCAAGGACACAGGACUUCAGCUUCCUUCCCG
Molecule: long non-coding RNA, 1470 nt
Filed under: Equus asinus (donkey)
Lineage: Eukaryota; Metazoa; Chordata; Mammalia; Perissodactyla; Equidae
Description: lncRNA (ENSEASG00005029548.1)
Source: RNAcentral